Molecule: small RNA, 88 nt
Filed under: Eubacterium sp. CAG:161
Lineage: Bacteria; Bacillati; Bacillota; Clostridia; Eubacteriales; Eubacteriaceae
Description: GA-cis RNA
Rfam family: GA-cis RNA
Source: Rfam by way of RNAcentral
UAAAGUAAGAGACAAAAAUUAACUAUGUUUAUUAAAAAAAAUGUUUCCGACACUUAGCCCUCCACCAAAGGGUGGGGCAAUACAUAUU